CCUACGGGAGGCAGCAGUGGGGAAUAUUGGACAAUGGGCGAAAGCCUGAUCCAGCAAUGUCGCGUGAGUGAAGAAGGCCUUCGGGUUGUAAAGCUCUUUUACCCGGGAAGAUAAUGACCGUACCGGGAGAAUAAGCCCCGGCUAACUCCGUGCCAGCAGCCGCGGUAAUACGGAGGGGGCUAGCGUUGUUCGGAAUCACUGGGCGUAAAGCGUGCGUAGGCGGCCAUUCAAGUCAGAGGUGAAAGCCCAGGGCUCAACCCUGGAACUGCCUUUGAAACUAGGUGGCUGGAACACGGGAGAGGUGAGUGGAAUUCCGAGUGUAGAGGUGAAAUUCGUAGAUAUUCGGAAGAACACCAGUGGCGAAGGCGGCUCACUGGACCGUUGUUGACGCUGAGGCACGAAAGCGUGGGGAGCAAACAGGAUUAGAUACCCUGGUAGUCCACGCCGUAAACGAUGAUAACUAGCUGUUGGGGCUCUUUGAGCUCCAGUGGCGCAGCUAACGCAUUAAGUUAUCCGCCUGGGGAGUACGGCCGCAAGGUUAAAACUUAAAUGAAUUGACGG
This 561-nucleotide ribosomal RNA is filed under the name uncultured bacterium. RNAcentral's name for it is "bacterial SSU rRNA". It matches the Rfam family "Bacterial small subunit ribosomal RNA", at positions 338 to 916 of the family's 1533-position model. The record is from RNAcentral.